RNAcentral lists this ribosomal RNA (253 nucleotides) under uncultured bacterium. RNAcentral's name for it is "partial 16S ribosomal RNA". It matches the Rfam family "Bacterial small subunit ribosomal RNA", at positions 524 to 776 of the family's 1533-position model. The record is from RNAcentral.
UACGGAGGGUGCAAGCGUUGUCCGGAUUUAUUGGGUUUAAAGGGUGCGUAGGCGGCUAAUUAAGUCAGCGGUGAAAGUUUUGGGCUCAACCCAGAAAUUGCCAUUGAUACUGGUUAGCUUGAGUAUUGGAGGGGUACAUGGAAUUGAUGGUGUAGCGGUGAAAUGCAUAGAUACCAUCAGGAACACCGAUAGCGAAGGCAUUGUACUGGCCAAUAACUGACGCUGAUGCACGAAAGCAUGGGUAGCGAACAGG